RNAcentral lists this long non-coding RNA (778 nucleotides) under Gallus gallus (chicken). RNAcentral describes it as "lncRNA (ENSGALG00010019523.1)". Lineage: Eukaryota; Metazoa; Chordata; Aves; Galliformes; Phasianidae. The record is from RNAcentral.
CGAAAAGCCAAGGAAAGACAAAUCUGCUGAGCCAGUAAAAGUAGAAUUUAUGGCAGGAGUUAAACUGAUAUGAAAGAUGCUUUCUUUUGCAUUUCCUUGGAAGAGCAAAGCCAGAAAUUGUUUGCUUUUGCAUGGGAAAGCCCAAUAACAGAGACAAAGACCCAGCAGUGUUGGAUGGUGUUUCCCCAAGGAUUCAAGAACAGCCCUACACUGUUUGGUAAUGUACUGGCUAAAGAAUCGGAACAAUGGCAAGGUAUGUGCAAUUAGGAACUCCUGGAUGUGCCCAUACAUUCCUUCAAACCAUGGGACCAAGUGUAUCUCCAAACCUCUGGUUGAGAAGUGAAAAGAAUCUUAUCUGAUACUUCCUAACAACAGAUACUGCAGUAAAAGUAAAGGAUUGAGUCCUGAAUUCAUUACACCAGGACAAAAACAUGUCCAUGUGAGAAGUGGAGAAGUGAAGAAUUUCCUAAAGCCAAAGAUCAAGAGAAAUGCAUAAACUGCACCCAGAAUAGACUGGGUGCUUAUUUAGGACUAGGUUGUACUCUGGGGAUAUUACUCUUUGCUUUUGUAACUUUGAUUUUACUCAUUCUAUAUUUCACAUGUUUUUUACAGGUGUCUUGUUGGUAAUUUUAGCCUCUGUCUGUUUAUAUGUUGUAUUGCAGUGUAUAGACAAGUGUUGCUGGAUGUCGGUGAACAAAACCUCAGAGAAAAUGAGACUAAUCUAGACUGCACUGUUAGAUAUGUUUCCAAGGGGGGAAUUGUUGUGAGUCAAGUGGGA